Molecule: long non-coding RNA, 1831 nt
Organism: Corapipo altera (White-ruffed manakin)
Lineage: Eukaryota; Metazoa; Chordata; Aves; Passeriformes; Pipridae
Exons: 2
Source: RefSeq, a predicted model, not a curated record
UUGUUUUCCCCUCCACGCGCGCGCGCGCGCACAGGCACACACACCACGCAUGCAGGCACAUACCCACACACCCCCCACACGCACUCUGGCUUUCUCUCUUCUUCUCCCUCAUGCACACGCACUCACUUUCAUACACACACACACAGAAACACACACACACACACACACAACAUUCCCUGCCAUAGCGCGUGUGUGUGUCGGUGCAGCGAGUUACAUGUGAAAAGUUGCCUGUGGCAUGUGUGACACGCGAGGAGAUUCCUGCCAACAUCAGGGCCCUUUUUUGCCAUGCAGCAACAAGUGGCAGAAUCAAUGGUGUACAGUUAUUCAGCAAUGUAAUUCAUUUCACUGGCUUUGGCUCCCAGCCAGAUCCGCCAUCUGUCUCUUGCUCUCCCUCUCUCUCUCUCGCCUGAAUUUGUCCUACAUUUCGUAAUGUUACGUGCUUACCAUCCUUAUUCUAUGCCAGAGGUACAACACAAGCCUCACCCCCGUUCCAGCGUGGAGUUCUGUGAGUUCGGUGGCACUUUGGAUAUUCCACUUCAGUGCCAUAGGAAGAAAAGGGUAAGCAAAAAACAGAGUGAUAGCUGCAAAGAGAAUGGUGCUCUUCUAUCUGAAAGCCAGUGCCUCCGCUUUUUAUUUAAAGCAUUGAUAUGGAUCUGUCUCACAUGGGAACUUUUCCUGCUUCGUUAGAGUAUCUUCGUUUUCUUUAUUGGAUGCUGGCACUGUACGCCACUGCACAGCUCUGUGGAAUGCCUGCUGUUGGAUACUUGCAGAUCCCUGCCACCAAGCAACCUCCUGCAUUGGAAAUCGGGUGACUACUCCAGGAUCUUAUGCGUGCUUGCUGUUUGAAGCUGCAGAAAAGUGAAUAAUCAAUUAAGUAUUGAUUUCUUGUAAGAUUUGGUAAAUUUCAAAGGCAAGACAAAGAGGAUGGCUUAAGGAAAGCACUGCAGGGACUUGGCGUAAAUUAGACAACUAACAGCAGUGCAGAAUAAAAUAACACCUCAACUGAAUAUUUCCUUGGAAGAAUUAGCACUAGCUAUUGGAAGACGAUGGUGGAUUUAAUCAAGACGGCAAGCACGCUUGAGUUUUAACCGUGAACCUGAAAGAGGAGCUAAUUAUAACCACCUUUUUAUAUGGAGCUAAUUUGACUGAAUGGAUGCAAAUGUGCUUUAUUUAUGGAUGAAGAAGCAAGCCUUACAGCAUUGACUUUGGGAUCAUCGCAUAUGCUAAGCUUUACAGCUUCUCUAAAAGUCAAGCCUACAGUACAUUUUUAUUUACUGAGAAGGCACAAAGGAGAUAGAAAUGAUUUUUAAAAGAAGCAAAUAUGUAGAUAUGCAAACCAGGAGAAGACAAAAUAGAUUGACACUCAGAAGUGGCUUUUGCACUGGCUUUUUAUAAAUAUUAAGAGUUAAAUCUUUCUUUCCAAGGUGAAGCUUCAGUGCUCUCCCAUCUUAUAGUUUCUUCAGUGGUAUGUCUUUUGAGACACUGUAUCUGUAAUCUCUGUGCACAUUGCAGUAAUUUACAACGAACAAUUGGAGGUUUUGUGCAAGAUUUUUUAGUUUUGCUGAAGACUUUGCCGAGAGAGUGUAAUCCAUUGAAACAUGCUAUAUUCCCUACUUUGGCAGGCCAAUAAAAAGUUCAUGUUUUCCUUAAUAAAAUAAAUAUGGUUUCAGUACCAAGAGCUUUCACAUGGCAAAGCUUUUAAUUUAAUUGCCUGGAUUGAGUUAGCUAUUUUCAGUUUCAAGCAGUCUUUCGAUUACUAAAGACAAAAUUGUAAUAACUAUAAAUAUUGUUAGAUAAUGAAUAAACUGGGUAUGCACAAAAAUGCCUCAGA